Non-coding RNA from Cinara cedri, 242 nucleotides. The record is from the annotation of a GenBank genome assembly. NCBI's taxonomy places the organism in Eukaryota, Metazoa, Arthropoda, Insecta, Hemiptera, Aphididae.
AGGUUAGGCUAAAAGCCAUUUAGUUUUAAGAAGCCAAAAAGCCAAACUCAAUUUUGAGUGACUAUAUUCUUAUUUCCUUUGGAUCCAUUAAAUAUACGCCUCUAUAUAGGAAAUAAUAAAUGACCUCGACGAACUGUGGUGAUUUCAAAACCAGAAUUAAAUUUGCACACCACCAUCGCCACCAAGACCGUUUUUAUCACCGUCAACAAAAUCUAAAAUAACGAGCCACAAUCAUUUCGCAA